This 480-nucleotide long non-coding RNA is filed under the name Nicotiana benthamiana. RNAcentral's name for it is "long non-coding RNA (NBEN_LNC008191)". The record is from RNAcentral. Lineage: Eukaryota; Viridiplantae; Streptophyta; Magnoliopsida; Solanales; Solanaceae.
GCCUCCGUGCAGUUUCUUCGUUCUUCUGGCGGGCCAAUUCUGCCUGGUGUUGCCGCCUUAGUUCCUCCCUUGAUGUCUCAUGGUUAACUGACCUAAGCAUAGCCUUGGAUGAGAGUCCAUCGGUGGAUACGGGCUUAGCUUUGGCAGCAACCAGUUCACCAGUGGCUUUCACAGCUCCACGGCUAUCUGACCCCCCAGAACUUCCUCCUGUGAGCCUCCGUGCAGUUUCUUCGUUCUUCUGGCGGGCCAAUUCUGCCUGGUGUUGCCGCCUUAGUUCCUCCCUUGAUGUCUCAUGGUUAACUGACCUAAGCAUAGCCUUGGAUGAGAGUCCAUCGGCGGCUACAGGCUUAGCUUUGACCUUCGGCUGCACCUCCUCUUCUUCAUCCUCAUUGAAUGAGUAAGCCACAUCCUUUACAGCUUUAGAACUCAUAGAAGUCACCACUUCUGGAGCAUUUUGACCAAUAACAACUGUAUCAGCAA